CGGGGACCCCGCACAAGCGGUGGAGCAUGUGGUUUAAUUCGACGAUACACGAAGAACCUUACCUGGACUUGACAUAGUAAGAACUAUCUAGAGAUAGAUGGGUGUCUGCUUGCAGAAACUUAUAUACAGGUGCUGCACGGCUGUCGUCAGCUCGUGUCGUGAGAUGUUGGGUUAAGUCCCGCAACGAGCGCAACCCUCGUCAUUAGUUGCUAACAGUUCGGCUGAGAACUCUAAUGAGACUGCCUACGCAAGUAGGAGGAAGGUGAGGACGACGUCAAGUCAUCAUGGCCCUUACGUCCAGGGCUACACACGUGCUACAAUGGGGUAUACAAAGAGCCGCAAUACGGUGACGUGGAGCAAAUCUCAAAAAUAUCUCCCAGUUCGGAUUGUAGUCUGCAACUCGACUACAUGAAGUUGGAAUCGCUAGUAAUCGUAGAUCAGCUAUGCUACGGUGAAUACGUUCCCGGGUCUUGUACUCACCGCCCGUCACACCAUGGGAGUUGAACUCAUUCGAAGCGGGGAUGCUAAAAUAGCUACCUUCCACAGUGGAUUCAGCGACUGGGGUGAAGUCGUAACAAGGUAACCGUAGGAGAACCUGCGGCUGGAUCACCUCCUU
Molecule: ribosomal RNA, 616 nt
Filed under: uncultured Arcobacter sp.
Lineage: Bacteria; Pseudomonadati; Campylobacterota; Epsilonproteobacteria; Campylobacterales; Arcobacteraceae
Description: bacterial SSU rRNA
Rfam family: Bacterial small subunit ribosomal RNA
Source: RNAcentral